This 350-nucleotide unclassified non-coding RNA is filed under the name soil metagenome. RNAcentral describes it as "partial contains 5.8S ribosomal RNA, internal transcribed spacer 2, and large subunit ribosomal RNA". The stretch from base 1 to 120 matches the Rfam family "5.8S ribosomal RNA", at positions 35 to 154 of the family's 154-position model. The record is from RNAcentral.
GAUGAAGAACGUAGCGAAAUGCGAUAAGUAAUGUGAAUUGCAGAAUUCAGUGAAUCAUCGAAUCUUUGAACGCACAUUGCGCCCGCCAGUAUUCUGGCGGGCAUGCCUGUUCGAGCGUCAUUACAACCCUCAGGCCUCCGGGCCUGGCGUUGGGGAUCGGCGGAGCCCCCCGUGGGCACACGCCGUCCCCCAAAUACAGUGGCGGUCUCGCUGCAGCCUCCCCUGCGUAGUAGCAACACUCGCAUGCGGAGCGCGGCGCGGCCACGCCGUAAAACCCCCGACUUUCUGAACGUUGACCUCGGAUCAGGUAGGAAUACCCGCUGAACUUAAGCAUAUCAAUAAGCGGAGGA